ACGUGUAGCAGUGAAAUGCGUAGAGAUGUGGAGGAAUACCGAUGGCGAAGGCAGCCUCCUGGGAUAACACUGACGUUCAUGCCCGAAAGCGUGGGUAGCAAACAGGAUUAGAUACCCUGGUAGUCCACGCCCUAAACGAUGUCGAUUAGCUGUUGGGCAGCAUGACUGCUUGGUAGCGAAGCUAACGCGUGAAAUCGACCGCCUGGGGAGUACGGUCGCAAGAUUAAAACUCAAAGGAAUUGACGGGGACCCGCACAAGCGGUGGAUGAUGUGGAUUAAUUCGAUGCAACGCGAAGAACCUUACCUGGUCUUGACAUGUACGGAACCCUCCAGAGACGGAGGGGUGCCUUCGGGAGCCGUAACACAGGUGCUGCAUGGCUGUCGUCAGCUCGUGUCGUGAGAUGUUGGGUUAAGUCCCGCAACGAGCGCAACCCUUGUCAUUAGUUGCCAUCAUUAAGUUGGGCACUCUAAUGAGACUGCCGGUGACAAGCCGGAGGAAGGUGGGGAUGACGUCAAGUCCUCAUGGCCCUUAUGACCAGGGCUUCACACGUCAUACAAUGGUCGGUACAGAGGGUAGCCAAGCCGCGAGGUGGAGCCAAUCUCACAAAACCGAUCGUAGUCCGGAUUGCACUCUGCAACUCGAGUGCAUGAAGUCGGAAUCGCUAGUAAUCGCAGGUCAGCAUACUGCGGUGAAUACGUUCCCGGGUCUUGUACACACCGCCCGUCACACCAUGGGAGUGGGGGAUACCAGAAGUAGGUAGGGUAACCGCAAGGAGCC
Molecule: ribosomal RNA, 778 nt
Filed under: uncultured bacterium
Lineage: Bacteria
Description: bacterial SSU rRNA
Rfam family: Bacterial small subunit ribosomal RNA
Source: RNAcentral